This 71-nucleotide transfer RNA is filed under the name Epiplatys dageti (redchin panchax). RNAcentral's name for it is "tRNA-Pro". It matches the Rfam family "tRNA". From Rfam's summary of the family: Transfer RNA (tRNA) molecules are approximately 80 nucleotides in length. Their secondary structure includes four short double-helical elements and three loops (D, anti-codon, and T loops). Lineage: Eukaryota; Metazoa; Chordata; Actinopteri; Cyprinodontiformes; Nothobranchiidae. The record is from RNAcentral.
CAGAGAAUAGUUUAAUUUAAGAAUCCUGGCUUUGGGGGUCAGGGGUGAAGGUUAAAAUCCUUCUUCUUUGA